GAGCUCCAGGGCCACCUGAAGGCCACAUGGGAGAUGCCCAAGGAUAUUGUGCUUGUCACCCUGAGCAAACUGUUCAGCACCUAUGCUCCACAGUGCAUCUCCUUUGUAAGGCUGAUGCUGGCUGGCCUACGCAGUGUGGUGGGCCGGGUGAGAAGUGGCCAAACUCUGCGCAUCGCUUGUGCUGUUGUGAAACAAUGGUUGGACGGAGUCAAGAUUCAAUUGUCCUCCGGAAAACAAUGCCCCUGGCCUGCCACAGAGAAAGAGCAA
This is a non-coding RNA of Phasianus colchicus (ring-necked pheasant), 267 nucleotides long. Lineage: Eukaryota; Metazoa; Chordata; Aves; Galliformes; Phasianidae. The record is from RefSeq and is a predicted model, not a curated record.